RNAcentral lists this ribosomal RNA (496 nucleotides) under uncultured bacterium. Its description in RNAcentral is "partial 16S ribosomal RNA". It matches the Rfam family "Bacterial small subunit ribosomal RNA", at positions 28 to 507 of the family's 1533-position model. The record is from RNAcentral.
GAUGAACGCUGGCGGCGUGCCUAAUACAUGCAAGUCGAGCGAACAGAUGAGGAGCUUGCUCCUCUGACGUUAGCGGCGGACGGGUGAGUAACACGUGGGUAACCUACCUAUAAUACUGGGAUAACUUCGGGAAACCGGAGCUAAUACCGGAUAAUAUCUUUAACCGCAUGGUUCAGUAGUGAAAGACGGUUUUGCUGUCACUUAUAGAUGGAUCCGGGCCUCAUUAGCUAGUUGGUAAGGUAACGGCUUACCAAGGCGACGAUGCGUAGCCGACGUGAGAGGGUGAUCGGCCACAGAGGAUAUACGACAAGAUUCAGACUCAGACGGGAGGCAGAAGUCGGCAAUAUGCAGCAGUGGGCGAUAGCUCACAGUAGACACGAGGCGUGUGCGACGACGGUCUGUGGAUCGUAACAGCCUGUUAUUUGGGAACACCAAACGCGAAAGUCAAAACGCAUGUCUGGCGGGUCCUUAAGAAGAAGCACCGGCUAACUUCGUU